CUAAUCAUGUAAAGGACCCUCAGAUGGGACAGGCUAUUGGACAACUUUCCUGGUUCAUGAAGUGGAAUUUCCUUUUUGAGUAGUUUCUUGCAUGGUGUAUUCCAAUAGGUCAAACCCAGACCUACUGUUUGCAAACAGGCCAUCUGUAGAGAAUACAAUCUCUGGACUGCCCAGGACUUGUUGCUUGUCUUUCAUUUCAUUUUAAAUACAAAGCUCUUCCUUUAGCAUUCACCUUGAAGUCAAGGUGUUGGCUGCCACAUGCCAUGUCCUCUUAACAAGAUAAGAAAACAGUGGCUAUGGAGCCCUCACAGCUGGGAAGCUGACAUUCUAUACUUCCAUAUGAGAAAAAGGACAUUGGAAAGUUGCUUUAUUUCUGGGCAGCGUAGACUAAAGUUACUUUUCACAAGGCUGAUGCAUCCAGCCUCCCCCAGUUGUCCAAGUUGGUGCAGACAUGAAUUGAUGAAUGGAAACACUUUCCUUUGGCCUAGGGCCACCUAGAAUUGGUCUCUGGUUAUUUGUAAAACAAAAAGUAGAACUUGCUUCCAUUUUCAGAUGGACUAGGGAAUACUAUAAUUAGACAGCUUUGCAAUGAAUUAACAAAUACUGAAAAGUUGGAAAUGUGUAUAUACUGAAAUCUCACCAACUUUUACCUGGGGUGGGGUACCAGGAGAAAGGGAACCCCCUUUCUCCUGGUAAAGGGUAAGGGGGGGGAUAAUGUUUACCACAGGUACGAAAUAGUCACUUUAACAUUGAGACCUCUGCCUCAUUGAAUUCAGGUUUUUUAAGUACUUGAAACUCUUCAGAUUCUCCUUAUUUUAGUUUCUUUUUACAUUUAUGAAGUAGAAAGCAUUGUUUUGUAAACUGUUUUGAAAAUAAAUAGCCUAGUCUCUUAUCCUCUUUAGCGUGGAUUAAAGGUGAAGUUCUGCAAAUGGGAGAGUGUUCACAGUAGAUAGCUCAGAUUGAUUGAACACAUUUGAGGAAGAGACUCCUGCAUGAGAUACCAGCAUUUUUACAAAUACUUUUUAUGUACAUUCUUUAUUUUGUCAUUUUGUCAACCCUCUCCCCAAGCACAUCUUCUUUCCUUUUACUAUGUCUAUGUAGGGAAAAAAACAAAACAAAAAAUUGCACUUACGUUACACUCCCAAAAUGUGGGUAAUCCGUGUCUUUCAAAAAACAUUUCUGUUUUUUGUUUUGUUUUGGUCAGUCCAUUGCAUAAGUGACAAGUUUGGGUGCUUGUGGCACGUAUGUAUGAAGCGGGAGGGGGAUGAGAAUUGCCUGUCCUUCAGUAGGCUGUAAAAGUAAUUUACAUGUAAGUAAAAAGGGAAAAUAGAAUAGAUGCCAAAGUCAUUUAUUCAGUCCUUAGUUUUCUUAUGUGGCAUUACUGCAUCUGCUAGUUAGUGAGAAAGCACCCUCAGCUUUUACUGCUCCCCUCCCUGCCUGCCAACACACUUGAUGUGUGCAAACAGCCCUCAAGUAUCUGUCAGAUGACCUAUAUAAGGUAUUGAAUAAGGUAUUCUUGUCAGUUUAGAAAUGGACUGGAUAAAACUUACUUGGUUGUCAUUAUUUUAUCUCAUUUGUCCUGUUACAUGCCCUAUGUUAAGAUAAUUAUAUUGCCACUAAUAAUCAAGAUGCUAAAUGAGUAUUACAACUGGCUAAUAUCAUUUUUUAUAUACAAGGGUAUGUGUAUAUUUGGAAUUGAUAUGAGAAACUCAUUUGUACCCAUUUGAGUGAUAUUGCACAACAAACACAGAUACCUACAGACUCCGUUUUCAUUUUCUCGUGUUCUUUAUGAUAAUGAUCUUUGUAGAUUGGUUAUUUCUGUACUUUAUCUGUAAUAAACUUUGUAGAUCCUGUGAACCAUUACUUUGCCUAAAUCACUUGAGACUUGAGUCUUUAAUAACAAAGCAUCAAUAUUCACUAAAGUCAAUCUCUUUUGAGUUUCUGUGACUUGGCUAGAAGCUCUUGACACUAAGGGAUUAGUGUUAAUUUUCCCUGGGGGUGUUCCACUAGGGCAUUACUGUAUAAUGACUUGAUGUUGCCACAUAGACUUCAAGAUAUAUAAUAUUUUGAGGAUUUUGUUGAUUGGCCUAUGUUUUAUUGCAUAGUGUGAAACGUGUAAAGCUUGGUUAACCUGUAUAUAGAUAGCUUAUUGUUGACUAGUUAUAGUGUAUUUAGGGUUGCCUGUAAUAUUUAAGCUUCUUUACUGAUGUGUGUGCUGGUAGGAACAUAUAAUUUUUGUACAUUAUAUUUACUGAGAUGUUGCCUUUUUUAUUUUACAAAUACUUUGGAAUUCCAAUGUGUUUUUUGCUUCCGUGAGGAUUAAUUUGGAAAGGUUUUUAAUGACAUUCCACUGAUUUCAGAUUUUGCUUGAGAUUGACUUCAAUAAAUUGUCCUGUAUGUUCCAAAUUAAA
This 2411-nucleotide long non-coding RNA is filed under the name Homo sapiens (human). RNAcentral describes it as "non-protein coding lnc-PLPP5-1:1". Lineage: Eukaryota; Metazoa; Chordata; Mammalia; Primates; Hominidae. The record is from RNAcentral.